Non-coding RNA from Onthophagus taurus, 1422 nucleotides. NCBI's taxonomy places the organism in Eukaryota, Metazoa, Arthropoda, Insecta, Coleoptera, Scarabaeidae. The record is from RefSeq and is a predicted model, not a curated record.
GAGAUCAAUUAUUUUUUAUUAAUUGCUGAUUGUGAGGUUAUCUAGAAGAGGCUGAAGAUAUAAUAAUAGAGGAAAAGUGAUGAGAAAGGUGGUGAAGAGGAGCUUGUUCUGAAAACUUUAAAGCUAUCAAAAAUUGUCUUGGAAACGAUUUGUGGAAACUAUGAUGGAUGAACAAUUAUCCACAUUCAUCACUAAUUGUGAGGUUAUCUAGAAGGAGCCAAAGGUUAUUAGUAGAAGAAAAGCAACAAAAAACGUGGUGAAGAGCAGCUCGCUCUAGAAAUGUUGAAAAUGAAUGAUUAGAAUGAUUGAAUUAUAAAUAAAAUUCAAAAUCUAUCUUGGAAACUACUUAACGAAAACUAUGAUGGAUGAACAAUUAUCCACAUUCAUCACUAAUUGUGAGGUUAUCUAGAAGGAGCCAAAGGUUAUUAGUGGAAGAAAAGCAACAAGAAACGUGGUGAAGAGCAGCUCACUCUAGAAAUGUUGAACCUGAAUGAUUGAAUUCUAAAUAAAAUUCAAAAUCUAUCUUGGAAACUACUUAACGGAAAUAAUGCAAGGGGUGAUUAAUUAUUUGGAUUCAUCCCUAAUUGUGAGGUUAUGUAACUUUGAAGCUGGAACUAUUUCAAAUAAUUCCAACAAUUGUCUCGGAGAUUAUAUUAUAACAAAUUUUGAAGCUGGGUGUAAUUCAAAUAAUUCCAACAUUUGUCUUGAAGAUUAUGCAGCUGAAAGGAUGAAAAUGUUGACCAUAUUGGAAGUUAAUAAAAUGAAUGGGGUUAUUACUAUUCAUGAGUCUAUUUGGAAGGAAUAAAUAAGGCCUAUCUGAAAGUGAAUCUGAAGUUAUUCUUAUGUCCAGCCUCUCCUACAUCCAGGUUUCCUCAACGGAUAUGAACAAUAAAGCCAGUGUGGUGUCAUUGGCGUCACGAAGGUGCAAUUACCAUGAGGAGAUGGUUAGAAACCAGGUGUUAAUUAAUUAAUCACAACAAGGCAGAAUAUCAACAAAGUUUGUCCUAAAAUGUUAUUGGAAGUGCAAAGACGAUUCAGAAGGGAAUCAGAAAGAAAUUUAAAGCAAAGGGAAUCGUUCAAAAUGUCAACAAGAAAUAUUCUGGACGACCACUAUUAUUUAUGGCGCCAUCUAUUAUUACGAACACGUGUAUUUUUGAAUUUAUGGAAAGAGAGCAAGAUAUCUUCGCGACGUCUUGCGAUGGACUGAAAACUGUUGCAGUGCAGAGAGCCAGAAGCGUGAACAACCAACUGUCCCCACUUAGGGAAGACUCUUUGUGCAGUUAGCAGAAACGCGGAUCACCUGUCGUCUCUUCUUCGUGGUCGGAGACGCGCACCGAUUGUUGUUGGACGAAGAUAUUUUUAAAAUUCAAUUAGAAAAUAAUGUUAUUAUAAUUAUUAAAUAAAGUUUUAUGUUGAGAAUUA